RNAcentral lists this long non-coding RNA (1167 nucleotides) under Pan paniscus (pygmy chimpanzee). Its description in RNAcentral is "lncRNA (ENSPPAG00000045146.1)". Lineage: Eukaryota; Metazoa; Chordata; Mammalia; Primates; Hominidae. The record is from RNAcentral.
GUCAGCUAUCACAUCUUUAGGAUUUUACUCAGAAAAGAGACUUACACAAAGUGUUUUCUGCAAACUGUCAUAACAACAGCAGCCAUUUGUGACAUCAUGGAGUGAAGUGGGACAUUAUUCUCUGAGCCAAACAAUUUCUUCAAAUCAAACCCACAGAAGAAAAAUGCAGAUACCAGGUAAGCCUGGUUGUGUAUAUUCUCAUCUUAUUUUCUCCUUUUAAAUGCCCAGAUUUCCUGAACUGGCUAGAUGUGGGUAGUUCCAAUGUGACUGUUAUUCCUGGGGCUUUCUUACAUACUCCAACUUCCAUUCUGUGAAUGAAUCCAAAGAAGGUUGCCUUGACAACCAUUCACCUCUCUCUCGUCAAGCACCCUGAACAGCCUCAAGUGCUUCAUUGAGAUAAAAGCCCGCAGAGCACCCAGACUCAGGACCUCUGAUGACGCACAGCAGCUGAGAGGCUAACCUGGGAUGUGCUGCUGUAGAUAAAAGUCCUGAAACACUUCCUUUCCAUCACCUUUCCUGUCAGCUACCACAGCCAUUCCCACUGACAGGCCCUUGAACUGACAUUCCAGAGACCAAAGCAAAAUGUUGAAAAGCUGCUCCCCGAGUCCCUCGGAACCUCUCCGCAUCCCCUGAGCUGUGUCAAGCCUCAGACUGUGACAGAGCAUCUCCCAGAGCCCCAUGCAGUGAUUCACAGAAGCGGUGGGUGGCUAGAGAAGCCAGCAGGAAUUUAAAAAGACCUAAGACUUGAUGUGUCGGCAUCAGCACAGCCCUAGAACAAUGAAAAAAAUACAAAGAACAACAAGAACCUAUUCAGUGUUUUUCACCUUGAAUGAUGAAUCUCUCAGGCCUCAUAUCCUGGGCCAGUGGGCCCAUCAAGGAGAGAGGAAAGAGCCAACGUCUGAUAGGUGCCUACUCCGUAGCAGAGCUUCACCUAAGUUGAGUCCUCAAUUCCACACUCUGUUCGUUUGAAACAAUACUAGUCCCAGCUGUGACAUAAAAAGAUGGCAUGUUCUAUUUUAAGAGGCAGUUUCUUUGGUCUGGUUUCUUUGUAUUGAUUCUGUGUGGUCAGAAGUAACUAGGAAUACUGUCUUCACCAAGAGAAAACUUAGUAAUUUGGGAUUGUUUAACCCAUUGAAGGGUAAUUUGAAGAGUUUACACUAUGUGGAU